This 596-nucleotide ribosomal RNA is filed under the name uncultured bacterium. RNAcentral's name for it is "bacterial SSU rRNA". It matches the Rfam family "Bacterial small subunit ribosomal RNA", at positions 57 to 649 of the family's 1533-position model. The record is from RNAcentral.
GCAGUCGAGCGGUAGAGAGAAGCUUGCUUCUCUUGAGAGCGGCGGACGGGUGAGUAAUGCCUAGGAAUCUGCCUGGUAGUGGGGGAUAACGUUCGGAAACGGACGCUAAUACCGCAUACGUCCUACGGGAGAAAGCAGGGGACCUUCGGGCCUUGCGCUAUCAGAUGAGCCUAGGUCGGAUUAGCUAGUUGGUGGGGUAAUGGCUCACCAAGGCGACGAUCCGUAACUGGUCUGAGAGGAUGAUCAGUCACACUGGAACUGAGACACGGUCCAGACUCCUACGGGAGGCAGCAGUGGGGAAUAUUGGACAAUGGGCGAAAGCCUGAUCCAGCCAUGCCGCGUGUGUGAAGAAGGUCUUCGGAUUGUAAAGCACUUUAAGUUGGGAGGAAGGGCAGUAAAUUAAUACUUUGCUGUUUUGACGUUACCGACAGAAUAAGCACCGGCUAACUCUGUGCCAGCAGCCGCGGUAAUACAGAGGGUGCAAGCGUUAAUCGGAAUUACUGGGCGUAAAGCGCGCGUAGGUGGUUAGUUAAGUUGGAUGUGAAAUCCCCGGGCUCAACCUGGGAACUGCAUUCAAAACUGACUGACUAGAGUAU